Molecule: ribosomal RNA, 253 nt
Filed under: uncultured bacterium
Lineage: Bacteria
Description: partial 16S ribosomal RNA
Rfam family: Bacterial small subunit ribosomal RNA
Source: RNAcentral
UACGAAGGGUGCAAGCGUUACUCGGAAUUACUGGGCGUAAAGGGCGCGUAGGCGGCCCGUCAAGUCCCGUGUGAAAGCCCCCGGCUCAACCGGGGAACGGCGCGGGAAACUAGCAGGCUUGAGUUCGGGAGAGGGAAGCGGAAUUCCGGGUGUAGCGGUGAAAUGCGCAGAUAUCCGGAGGAACACCGGUGGCGAAGGCGGCUUCCUGGACCGACACUGACGCUGAGGCGCGAAAGCUAGGGGAGCAAACGGG